This is an RNA transcript of Abrus precatorius (Indian licorice), 2084 nucleotides long. It is a transcript of the gene named U-box domain-containing protein 4-like, with no coding region annotated. The transcript is spliced from 2 exons. Lineage: Eukaryota; Viridiplantae; Streptophyta; Magnoliopsida; Fabales; Fabaceae. The record is from RefSeq and is a predicted model, not a curated record.
CUCGUCGUCUUCACCCUGACGCAGCCUUCACUCACUUUUUAACUAUGAAACUCUCCUAAGACUUGAGAAACUGAAAAACUUCAAACCCUAAUCGCCAAUUAGUGUGCGUGGAAGCUUGGAGAAUGGUUUCGCUGGAGGAAUCAGGCUCGAAUUCGAGCCGUUUUCCCUUAACGAGGAGUUAUCAGUAUCACUCUUCCAUUUCCUCCAAAACGCAGCGACAUAUCGGAAGGUCCAUGCGCACCAUACGCUCCAAUUUCUUCCAAGACGACAACAGUAGCUGCUCCUUCACCGAGAAAUCCGCUUGUCUAUCGGAAAACCUCACCGAUUCUGUCGUCGACCUCCGACUCGGCGAGCUCGCUUCCCGGAACAACAAAUCCGUCAAGUCCUCCAGCGCCGAUGAGGACCUACUCGAUCUCUCCCAGGCCUUCAGCGAUUUCUCCGCCUGCAGCAGCGACAUCUCCGGCGAGCUGCAGAGGCUGGCGUGCCUCCCGUCGCCGGAAUACGUGCAGAAGAGCGACGCCGGCGGGGACGCCGAGCAGGAGCCGGAGGCGGAACCCUGCAUGGGGUUCCUGCAGAGGGAGAACUUCUCCACGGAGAUUAUCGAGAGCAUUUCGCCGGAGGAUCUUCAGCCGACGGUGAAGAUUUGCAUCGACGGUCUCCAGUCGCCGUCGGUGGCGGUUAAGCGAUCAGCGGCGGCGAAGCUGAGGCUUCUGGCGAAGAACCGCGCCGAUAACCGCUUUCUGAUCGCGGAGUCCGGCGCGGUUCCCGUGCUGGUUCCUCUGCUUCGGUGUAGCGAUCCAUGGACACAGGAACACGCCGUGACGGCGCUGCUGAACCUGUCUCUACACGAGGACAACAAGAUGCUGAUAACUAAUGCUGGAGCGGUUAAGUCGCUGAUAUAUGUGCUGAAGACGGGAACGGAGACUUCGAAGCAGAACGCGGCGUGCGCGCUGUUGAGCCUGGCGUUGGUGGAAGAGAACAAGAGCUCGAUCGGCGCGUCGGGGGCAAUACCGCCGCUGGUUUCGCUGCUUCUGAACGGUUCCAACAGAGGGAAGAAGGACGCGCUGACGACGCUGUAUAAGCUGUGUUCGGUGAAGCAGAACAAGGAAAGGGCAGUGAGCGCCGGCGCGGUGAAGCCGCUGGUGGAGCUGGUGGCGGAGCAAGGGACCGGCAUGGCAGAGAAGGCAAUGGUGGUGCUCAACAGCUUGGCGGGCAUUCAGGAAGGGAAGGAUGCGAUUGUGGAAGAAGGUGGAAUCGCUGCGCUUGUUGAAGCCAUUGAAGAUGGGUCGGUGAAGGGAAAGGAGUUUGCCGUUUUGACCCUUCUUCAGCUCUGUGUUGACAGUGUCAGAAAUAGAGGGUUUCUAGUAAGAGAGGGUGGGAUACCCCCUCUUGUUGCUCUUUCUCAGACUGGGAGUGUUCGAGCUAAGCACAAGGUUAGUGAAUCCCUACCAAUUGGAUCAUGUUAACAAACAAAAAUCUUCAUUGGGAAGCUGAAGUUAUUAUUAAUUCUUAUCUUGAGUAUCAUUAUGCAUUCCAUGCUGAAACGCUGCUUCGAUAUUUGAGAGAAUCAAGACAAGAAGCAUCGUCUUCAAGCUCGUAAUUACAUUACUACUACUUAGGAAGGUAAUAAUUAUACAAUGUAAUUGGUUAUUGUAUAUAUAGUGUUUUUGCUGGUUUGUACAGUGUGGCUGAGAUAGUUGGAACGAUGUUUAUUGAAGUUAGAAGAAGCUAGCCAGCUAUAGACUGACCCUUAGAUGUAUGGAUGGAUAUAGCUAGGUUUGGGAUUUUGCUUUCCCUUGUUUCAAUUUGUUGUGUUUCCUGGUGGAUUACAUGAUUUUCUGAGUUUCGGGUUGAUUAGGUUUCUAAAUUUCUUUUGUUUACUUUAGAUGACCCUAGUUUUGUGAAAAGGGUUUCUGAUUGUAUUGCUGUACCGUUAAUUAAUUUGCCCGCUCGUAAUGAAAAUACGAAGCUUGUACUAUACUAGCAGGAAUGUUUGUGUCCAUAAUUAUUUUUUUGUUCAAAACCGAGCAUAAGUUUCGCUUAUUUGAUACUGCUGAAUGAAUGAGUUGCAUAGGCUGUUUCCA